RNAcentral lists this microRNA precursor (84 nucleotides) under Pelobates cultripes (western spadefoot toad). It matches the Rfam family "mir-130 microRNA precursor family". Rfam says of the family: The hairpin precursors (represented here) are predicted based on base pairing and cross-species conservation -- their extents are not known. In this case the mature sequence is excised from the 3' arm of the hairpin. The record is from RNAcentral. Lineage: Eukaryota; Metazoa; Chordata; Amphibia; Anura; Pelobatidae.
GGCUGACUGACACUCUUUCCCUGUUGCACUACUGUGGCACAAUAAAUAUAAGCAGUGCAAUGAUGAAAGGGCAUUAGUCUGACC